AGAAAUUCUGACACUCAGGCAUCACACUUCACCAAGGAGCAAACAGAACAAACUAGCUGAUAGGAAAUAAAAUGGAAGUGAAAUGCUGGGUGAGAUGACACAGAUGAAUCAUUUGAUGACACCUAUACAUAGGAGGCAACAGGCCAGGUGGGGCUCCUGUCUUUAUCCUGAACAUAUUCUGGGACAUGUCACCAGGAACCAUAUGACUGUGAGCUCAGACUGUAAGGAAAGGCCAGCUCUGAUCCUAGUGGAGAAAGGAUUCCUGAACUGUGUGGCCUGGAGACGGCAAACUACUUAUAUUAUUAAGCAACUCUUUGACAACAGGAAUGAAAGCUGUAGCUCAAGGAGUAUUGAAAGACUAUGGAGCAAUCCUAUGUCAACAAAGCUGAAGGACUAUUAAAGCCUGGGGAUGGCAAAGGAUUGU
Mauremys reevesii (Reeves's turtle) is the source of this 424-nucleotide long non-coding RNA. RefSeq lists it as uncharacterized. The transcript has 3 exons. NCBI's taxonomy places the organism in Eukaryota, Metazoa, Chordata, Testudines, Geoemydidae. The record is from RefSeq and is a predicted model, not a curated record.